RNAcentral lists this ribosomal RNA (377 nucleotides) under uncultured bacterium. Its description in RNAcentral is "bacterial SSU rRNA". It matches the Rfam family "Bacterial small subunit ribosomal RNA", at positions 521 to 896 of the family's 1533-position model. The record is from RNAcentral.
UAAUACAGAGGGUGCGAGCGUUGUCCGGAAUUACUGGGCGUAAAGGGCGCGUAGGCGGCCCGAUAAGUCGGGGGUGAAAGUCAGCGGCUCAACCGCUGGACUGCCUUCGAGACUGUUAGGCUUGAGCAUGGUAGAGGCUGGCGGAAUUCCCGGUGUAGCGGUGGAAUGCGUAGAGAUCGGGAAGAACAUCGGUGGCGAAGGCGGCCAGCUGGGCCAUUGCUGACGCUGAGGCGCGACAGCGUGGGGAGCAAACAGGAUUAGAUACCCUGGUAGUCCACGCCGUAAACGAUGGGUACUAGGCGUCGGGGGGAGCGACCCCUUCGGUGCCGUCGUUAACACAGUAAGUACCCCGCCUGGGGAGUACGGCCGCAAGGCUG